Long non-coding RNA from Salvelinus namaycush (lake trout), 410 nucleotides. RefSeq lists it as uncharacterized. The record is from RefSeq and is a predicted model, not a curated record. The transcript is spliced from 4 exons. Lineage: Eukaryota; Metazoa; Chordata; Actinopteri; Salmoniformes; Salmonidae.
GUCUCCUGACCACCACUGUUGCCCCAACAACAACUACCAGCACCACAACACUUCCUACCCUUUUGACUUCAGUGACAUCAACAACUAGAUUUGGCACAGUGGGGGUAUUUGUUACACUGAUAUUCAAGGUCAAAACACCAGUCCCCACUGAGGAUGAUGUCCUUGGUGCCGUCAAGAAGCAAUUGUCUCCUCAAUUCACGACCACUCAAACCACCUUCCAGAAUGCAACUUAUAUCAAACUUACAGAUACUUCAUUUGCCAUCGACCUUGGUUUCAAAAUAACCAAUGUAACCCAGGAGUCUCUAAGUAAUAGACUCACACUCACCAAUGAGACCGAGAUCCAGGAUUCAAUUAACAGACUACUCCAUAAGGUUCUCAGUGAACCAGACGGCAAACAGUUUCAAUUUCCC